RNAcentral lists this ribosomal RNA (253 nucleotides) under uncultured bacterium. RNAcentral describes it as "partial 16S ribosomal RNA". It matches the Rfam family "Bacterial small subunit ribosomal RNA", at positions 524 to 776 of the family's 1533-position model. The record is from RNAcentral.
UACAGAGGAUGCAAGCGUUAUCCGGAAUGAUUGGGCGUAAAGCGUCUGUAGGUGGCUUUUUAAGUCCGCCGUCAAAUCCCAGGGCUCAACUCUGGACAGGCGGUGGAAACUACCAAGCUGGAGUACGGUAGGGGCAGAGGGAAUUUCCAGUGGAGCGGUGGAAUGCGUAGAUAUUGGAAAGACCACCAGUGGCGAAGGCACUCUACUGGGCCAUUACUGACACUGAGAGACGAAAGCUAGGGGAGCGAAUGGG